Molecule: long non-coding RNA, 1581 nt
Organism: Raphanus sativus (radish)
Lineage: Eukaryota; Viridiplantae; Streptophyta; Magnoliopsida; Brassicales; Brassicaceae
Exons: 3
Source: RefSeq, a predicted model, not a curated record
UGGUAUGAAAAUUUGCUUCAGUAUAUAUAACUUAUAAAUAUCCUCAAAUACUAACUGUUUUAAAACAUAUUAGUGAAACAAAAAAAUGCACGUAACAUGCGAAAGGCCAUCUUGCUAUCAAAACGAACUUCAGCACAAUCACAAGAUGCUACCUCACGGCCGCAUGUCUUACGACGCAUUCGCACCAGAAAAGAAGCAAUUGCAACACACAUUCUAAUUCAGAUAAGGGCUCUACAUCCAAAGUCGAAGAGGACCCAAUUGUAGCAUGCACAAAAUGCGGUGCACUAAUUUAGACUUCGGAGAGCACUUGUACGGACUCCAGAACUGGAGAACCAAAAUUCACAAUUUUCUGUAACCAUUGCCAAAUAAAGCUUCCACCGAUCAAGUAACCCCCAGCUUUAUUAGAAGAACUUUUCCAGUAUAGAGGGUUUCAAAAUACUAUCCGAGUCUACAAUUAUGUACUGGCUUUCACAUCCAUUAUAAUGAAAAUGGAUUAUAGUGUAGCGCAUACGCCUGGUCCUUACACUAUAUAAAUCCAAGGGCAGACCCACCAUAGAGUUGGCUCCCUUAUUCCACACCAAGGUCGUCUCCCAGAAUAUCUCCAGCUCUAUAUAUUUGAUACGAACAACGAAGUCAGAAACAGGCUAAACGCAAUGGGGCAAACCUCAACGGAAGGUAAUCUUGAUGAGAGAACCCUAGAGCGCCUCAUUGAGAUGAUUGAUGAGAAUAAUUGUUUAGCUAAGAUUUUCUGAAAGGCACGAGACUAUUACGAAAACGUCGGGAAAGAGUUAACUAUUAGAUUGCUGCCAGAAAAAAAGGGAAAAGGAAAGAAUACGAUCUUCCGAGUACGGAUGAGGUUGCAGGCCUUAUCGUAGGGGAUAUGUCAUCAACAGUUGGAGAACGCGAUAUAGUGGUCUAAUUCCAAUCUGACACUCUGCAGCAUAUACGUGAUGAUCUCCCUCUUUUCAUGAGCCUCCAAUAUCCUCUUCUGUUUCCAUAUGGUGAUUAUGGUUUUCACCCCUAGAUCCCACUACAUCAUGAAACAUGCACUUCAAGAACAAGGCAGUUCCUAACUAUACGCCAAUUCUACGCUGUGCAGAUACAUACACGUCUUAACCAAGGGAUGACAUUGAUUAAAGGCGGCCUUCUCCUCCAUCAGUAUGUUAUAGACAUUUAUACGGCAAUUCAAGAAGAUUGGCGAAGGUGGGCGAGGAAUAAUCAAGAUGUCUUGAGAGCCGAGCUCUACAGUAAUGUACUCGAUGCUGUUAGCAAGGGUGACACUGAUGCUAAAAUUAUUGGUCAAAGGUUCAUAUUGCCGCCAAGUUUCACCGGUGGACCCCGAUACUUAGUUGAGAAAUACCAUGAUGCGAUGGCUAUUUGCAGAGAAUAUGGGAAUCCAGAUCUGUUUAUCACAAUGACGGCCAGUCCUAAAUGGAGAGAGAUUGAAGAGAACCUUGCGAAAUAUGCUGGAGACUCUCCUAAUGAUAGACCAAACAUUGAGUGUGUUUCUUUAAGAUGAAAUUAGACCAGCUACUAAAAGAUUUCAAAAAAAUAAUUUUCUUUAGGCCAUACACCGCAGCU